Molecule: ribosomal RNA, 493 nt
Filed under: uncultured bacterium
Lineage: Bacteria
Description: partial 16S ribosomal RNA
Rfam family: Bacterial small subunit ribosomal RNA
Source: RNAcentral
AUUGAACGCUGGCGGCAUGCUUUACACAUGCAAGCCGAACGGUAACAGGUUAAGCUGACGAGUGGCGAACGGGUGAGUAAUGCAUCGGAACGUGCCCGAUCGUGGGGGAUAACGCAGCGAAAGCUGCGCUAAUACCGCAUACGAUCUGAGGAUGAAAGCGGGGGACCGUAAGGCCUCGCGCGAUCGGAGCGGCCGAUGUCAGAUUAGGUAGUUGGUGGGGUAAAGGCUCACCAAGCCGACGAUCUGUAGCUGGUCUGAGAGGACGACCAGCCACACUGGGACUGGGACACGGCCCAGACUCCUACGGGAGGCAGCAGUGGGGAAUUUUGGAAAAUGGGCGAAAGCCUGAUCCAGCAAUGCCGCGUGCAGGAAGAAGGCCUUCGGGUUGUAAACUGCUUUUGUACGGAGCGAAAGGGCUCUCUCUAAUACAGGGGGCUCAUGACGGUACCGUAAGAAUAAGCACCGGCUAACUACGUGCCAGCAGCCGCGGUAA